This is a non-coding RNA of Acanthosepion pharaonis, 107 nucleotides long. The record is from the annotation of a GenBank genome assembly. NCBI's taxonomy places the organism in Eukaryota, Metazoa, Mollusca, Cephalopoda, Sepiida, Sepiidae.
CGGACAAAUCACGUCGAAACACCGGCUCCCGUUCGACCAUAUAAAUUAAGCAACCUCAAGCUUGGUCAGUACGUAGAUGGGUGACCGCUUGGGAAUACCAGGCCCUG